GACGAACGCUGGCGGCGUGCUUAACACAUGCAAGUCGAGCGGUAAGGCCUUUCGGGGUACACGAGCGGCGAACGGGUGGGUAACACGUGGGGGAUCUGCCCUGCACUUCGGGAUAAGCCUGGGAAACUGGGUCUAAUACCGGAUAUGACCUCCUAUCGCAGGUGGGGUGGGGGAAAGAUUUAUCGGUGCAGGAUGGGCCCGCGGCCUAUCAGCUUGUUGGUGGGGUAUUGGCCUACCAAGGCGACGACGGGUAGCCGACCUGAGAGGGUGACCGGCCACACUGGGACUGAGACACGGCCCAGACUCCUACGGGAGGCAGCAGUGGGGAAUAUUGCACAAUGGGCGAAAGCCUGAUGCAGCGACGCCGCGUGAGGGAUGACGGCCUUCGGGUUGUAAACCUCUUUCAGCAGGGACGAAGCGCAAGUGACGGUACCUGCAGAAGAAGCACCGGCUAACUACGUG
RNAcentral lists this ribosomal RNA (462 nucleotides) under uncultured bacterium. RNAcentral describes it as "partial 16S ribosomal RNA". It matches the Rfam family "Bacterial small subunit ribosomal RNA", at positions 28 to 507 of the family's 1533-position model. The record is from RNAcentral.